Molecule: ribosomal RNA, 44 nt
Filed under: Aspergillus sydowii
Lineage: Eukaryota; Fungi; Ascomycota; Eurotiomycetes; Eurotiales; Aspergillaceae
Description: partial 18S ribosomal RNA
Source: RNAcentral
AAGUGUAAGGGUUCAGGUAGGUGAACCUGCGGCAAGGAUCAUUA